GGGCGGUUGGCUCAGAGGUAGAGCACCUCGUUUACACCGAGGGGGUCGGCGGUUCGAUCCCGUCACCGCCCACCA
This 75-nucleotide transfer RNA is filed under the name Holosporales bacterium. RNAcentral's name for it is "tRNA-Val". It matches the Rfam family "tRNA". Rfam says of the family: Transfer RNA (tRNA) molecules are approximately 80 nucleotides in length. The record is from RNAcentral. Lineage: Bacteria; Pseudomonadati; Pseudomonadota; Alphaproteobacteria; Holosporales.